This 253-nucleotide ribosomal RNA is filed under the name uncultured bacterium. RNAcentral describes it as "partial 16S ribosomal RNA". It matches the Rfam family "Bacterial small subunit ribosomal RNA", at positions 524 to 776 of the family's 1533-position model. The record is from RNAcentral.
UACGUAGGAGGCGAGCGUUGUCCGGAGUUACUGGGCGUAAAGGGCUCGUAGGCGGCCAACUAAGUCAGACGUGAAAUCCCCAGGCUCAACCUGGGAACUGCGUCUGAUACUGGAUGGCUUGAAUUCGGGAGAGGGAUGCAGAAUUCCAGGUGUAGCGGUGAAAUGCGUAGAUAUCUGGAGGAAUACCGGUGGCGAAGGCGGCAUCCUGGACCGACAUUGACGCUGAUGAGCGAAAGCUAGGGGAGCAAACGGG